UACAGAGGGUGCGAGCGUUGUCCGGAAUCACUGGGCGUAAAGGGCGCGUAGGCGGUUGCUUAAGUCUGUGGUGAAAGCCCGGGGCUCAACCCCGGGUCUGCCGUGGAUACUGCGAGACUUGAGUGCUGUAGAGGCAGGUAGAAUAUCGGGUGUAGCGGUGGAAUGCGUAGAGAUCCGAUAGAAGACCGGUGGCGAAGGCGGCCUGCUGGGCAGUAACUGACACUGAGGCGCGACAGCGUGGGGAGCAAACAGG
Molecule: ribosomal RNA, 253 nt
Filed under: uncultured bacterium
Lineage: Bacteria
Description: partial 16S ribosomal RNA
Rfam family: Bacterial small subunit ribosomal RNA
Source: RNAcentral